GACGAACGCUGGCGGCGUGCUUAACACAUGCAAGUCGAGCGACUGCAUUCUUUUCGGAGGGUGUAUGGAGCGGCGAACGGGUGAGUAACACGUGAGUAAUCUGCCUUUGGCUUGGGAAUAACUUCGGGAAAUCGGGGCUAAUGCCUGAUGUUUACUGUCUGCUGCAUGGUGGGUGGUGGAAAGAUUUUUUGGCCAGGGAUGAGCUCGCGGUCUAUCAGCUUGNGGUGGGGUGAUGGCCUACCAAGGCGACGACGGGUAGCCGGCCUGAGAGGGCGACCGGCCACACUGGGACUGAGACACGGCCCAGACUCCUACGGGAGCAGCAGUGGGGAAUCUUGCGCAAUGGGCGAAAGCCUGACGCAGCGACGCCGCGUGAGGGAUGAC
RNAcentral lists this ribosomal RNA (384 nucleotides) under uncultured bacterium. Its description in RNAcentral is "bacterial SSU rRNA". It matches the Rfam family "Bacterial small subunit ribosomal RNA", at positions 28 to 412 of the family's 1533-position model. The record is from RNAcentral.